UAUCAAUACAUUACAAUUAAUCUUUUAAUUACAUCAUGUCCACUAUUCUAUUACAAACAUACAUUCAUGCAUAUCCUUCCUCUUUACUCUUGCUGACUUUGACUUCUCACAGCUAAUCUCAGAACCUGCAAAACUGGGGUUAAGGGAGUGGGAUGAGCUACUACAGUCCAGUGAGAAGGAACAGUAAAAACAGUUCAUUCAUUACAUGCUCUCAUGAAAUGCAUCACAUCACAAACAUAUCAUCUCAAGGAUGAAUUUGUCACCAAUAACCCUUAACUACAUGUUAGAAUAAUGCCAACUGUGCCAAGGAGACUAUGUCAUCACCUGGUCUACACUUAUCUCUCUGAUAUCAUAACAUGACCAACUAUGCCAAGGAGACGAGGUCUCACCUGGUCUACACUUAACUCUGAUUUGACAGCCCAGCUGUCUCACUCAUAGUACCAGGAGCGACCUGGACUAUCCAGGGGCGACCUGGUAUGGCUAUCUCAUGCCAUAACUCUGUAUCUGCUCUCUGUCAAGGGCUAAGGAUCAUCCAACAUUCAUCCACAGGAACAACAACAUAUGCAAUGCAUCAUAUUCGUGAAUUCUAUGCAACACAACCUAAUACAUAACAUGGCAGUUUAUGAUGCAUGGAUCAUGCUAGAAUCGUGUCAUUUCUCAAAAUAAAAUAUUCAGUUUAGUUCCACUCACCUGUAGCCUCUGCUUGGCUAACUCUGGGCUAACUAGCUCUGGACCAACUCUAACUCUGAAGCAGCUA
RNAcentral lists this long non-coding RNA (757 nucleotides) under Manihot esculenta (cassava). Its description in RNAcentral is "long non-coding RNA (MESC_LNC009141)". The record is from RNAcentral. Lineage: Eukaryota; Viridiplantae; Streptophyta; Magnoliopsida; Malpighiales; Euphorbiaceae.